Molecule: transfer RNA, 72 nt
Organism: Salpingoeca sp.
Lineage: Eukaryota; Choanoflagellata; Craspedida; Salpingoecidae
Rfam family: tRNA
About the family: Transfer RNA (tRNA) molecules are approximately 80 nucleotides in length.
Source: Rfam
GGCGCUGUGGUCUAGAGGCAUGAUUCCGUGUUCGGGUCGCGGAGGUCCCGGGUUCGAUUCCCGGCAGCGCCC